AUUUCUUCCCGAUCCCUCAAUUUAUUAUACUUCUUCGCUGCGUAACCGGUUGCUGGGUCUAUUCUAGUUUGCGUUGGCCUACCAACAUCUCCACCACCUUGUGCAAUAUUUAACUCUCUUUUGUGAUCUUCAGCUAUAUGUCUCAUUAACGUACCCGUACCCCCUUGCUUGCCUCCACUUCUAUGCUUAUAUAUUUGUUGACAAAUAUUGCAUUGCACC
Molecule: long non-coding RNA, 219 nt
Filed under: Capsicum annuum
Lineage: Eukaryota; Viridiplantae; Streptophyta; Magnoliopsida; Solanales; Solanaceae
Description: long non-coding RNA (CANN_LNC000337)
Source: RNAcentral